This 398-nucleotide ribosomal RNA is filed under the name uncultured bacterium. Its description in RNAcentral is "bacterial SSU rRNA". It matches the Rfam family "Bacterial small subunit ribosomal RNA", at positions 28 to 428 of the family's 1533-position model. The record is from RNAcentral.
GACGAACGCUGGCGGCGUGCUUAACACAUGCAAGUCGAACGGUGACGAGGAGCUUGCUCCUCUGAUCAGUGGCGAACGGGUGAGUAACACGUGAGCAACCUGCCCCAGACUCUGGGAUAACAGUUGGAAACAGCUGCUAAUACCGGAUACGAGACGGAGAGGCAUCUCUACCGUCUGGAAAGUUUUUUCGGUCUGGGAUGGACUCGCGGCCUAUCAGCUAGUUGGUGAGGUAAUGGCUCACCAAGGCGACGACGGGUAGCCGGCCUGAGAGGGCGACCGGCCACACUGGGACUGAGACACGGCCCAGACUCCUACGGGAGGCAGCAGUGGGGAAUAUUGCACAAUGGCGAAAGCCUGAUGCAGCGACGCCGCGUGAGGGAUGACGGCCUCGGUUGUAA